Molecule: ribosomal RNA, 459 nt
Filed under: Bacillus thuringiensis
Lineage: Bacteria; Bacillati; Bacillota; Bacilli; Caryophanales; Bacillaceae
Description: bacterial SSU rRNA
Rfam family: Bacterial small subunit ribosomal RNA
Source: RNAcentral
AUACAUGCAAGUCGAGCGAAUGGAUUAAGAGCUUGCUCUUAUGAAGUUAGCGGCGGACGGGUGAGUAACACGUGGGUAACCUGCCCAUAAGACUGGGAUAACUCCGGGAAACCGGGGCUAAUACCGGAUAACAUUUUGAACUGCAUGGUUCGAAAUUGAAAGGCGGCUUCGGCUGUCACUUAUGGAUGGACCCGCGUCGCAUUAGCUAGUUGGUGAGGUAACGGCUCACCAAGGCAACGAUGCGUAGCCGACCUGAGAGGGUGAUCGGCCACACUGGGACUGAGACACGGCCCAGACUCCUACGGGAGGCAGCAGUAGGGAAUCUUCCGCAAUGGACGAAAGUCUGACGGAGCAACGCCGCGUGAGUGAUGAAGGCUUUCGGGUCGUAAAACUCUGUUGUUAGGGAAGAACAAGUGCUAGUUGAAUAAGCUGGCACCUUGACGGUACCUAACCAGAAAG